GUGACAUUCAUCUCCAUUCCUUCAAUUUUCAUAAUGAUCCUUGAUGGAUGAGCACGAACUCUAGAAGUGUUGUGGACAGUCUCUACAGCUUUUCUUAUCUCCAGAAGAUCAACCAAGUCUUUGAGCACACUCUUGUCUUCCUUUACCACUGACCACUUAACAGCUGCAACUGCACGAGUGAUUCUUUUGGAAUUGAGUUUCCCAAUCUCUGUGAGUGGUAUAGCAGUGACUUCAGAGUCUUUCUUCUUCUUGAAUAUUACAGAUGUAGGAUUGUAAGUAACAACUGGUGCAUUUGGAUUUUCAGGAACUUCAGGGUCUAGUGGAGGCAGUGGAUAUGGUGGUUGACGAUUGAUGGCUGAUAAGUCUAAUUCUCUCAGAGCAGCAAAGUUCAGACGAUAGGCAUAUAGCAGUUCAGCAGUUAGUCUUCCCUUGCUAGUCCUUGAGCACUUCUCCCUGACUUGAGCUUCCAGAUAUUUC
Molecule: long non-coding RNA, 477 nt
Filed under: Daucus carota (carrot)
Lineage: Eukaryota; Viridiplantae; Streptophyta; Magnoliopsida; Apiales; Apiaceae
Description: long non-coding RNA (DCAR_LNC005622)
Source: RNAcentral